CGAGCGGUAACAGGAAUUAGCUUGCUAAUUUGCUGACGAGCGGCGGACGGGUGAGUAAUGCCUAGGGAACUGCCCAGUCGAGGGGGAUAACAGUUGGAAACGACUGCUAAUACCGCAUACGCCCUACGGGGGAAAAGAGGGGACCUUCGGGCCUUCUGCGAUUGGAUGUACCUAGGUGGGAUUAGCUAGUUGGUGAGGUAAUGGCUCACCAAGGCGACGAUCCCUAGCUGUUCUGAGAGGAUGAUCAGCCACACUGGGACUGAGACACGGCCCAGACUCCUACGGGAGGCAGCAGUGGGGAAUAUUGCACAAUGGGCGCAAGCCUGAUGCAGCCAUGCCGCGUGUGUGAAGAAGGCCUUCGGGUUGUAAAGCACUUUCAGCGAGGAGGAAAGCUUAAGCGUUAAUAGCGUUUAGGUGUGACGUUACUCGCAGAAGAAGGACCGGCUAACUUCGUGCCAGCAGCCGCGGUAAUACGAGGGGUCCAAGCGUUAAUCGGAAUUACUGGGCGUAAAGCGUACGCAGGCGGUUUGUUAAGCGAGAUGUGAAAGCCCCGGGCUCAACCUGGGAACUGCAUUUCGAACUGGCAGACUAGAGUCUUGUAGAGGGGGGUAGAAUUUCAGGUGUAGCGGUGAAAUGCGUAGAGAUCUGAAGGAAUACCGGUGGCGAAGGCGGCCCCCUGGACAAAGACUGACGCUCAUGUACGAAAGCGUGGGGGAGCAAACAGGAUUAGAUACCCUGGUAGUCCACGCCGUAAAACGAUGUCUACUCGGAAUUUGGUGUCUUGAACACUGGGGUUCUCAAGCUAACGCAUUAAGUAGACCGCCUGGGGAGUACGGCCGCAAGGUUAAACUCAAAUGAAUUGACGGGGG
This 869-nucleotide ribosomal RNA is filed under the name Shewanella sp. Its description in RNAcentral is "bacterial SSU rRNA". It matches the Rfam family "Bacterial small subunit ribosomal RNA", at positions 63 to 919 of the family's 1533-position model. Lineage: Bacteria; Pseudomonadati; Pseudomonadota; Gammaproteobacteria; Alteromonadales; Shewanellaceae. The record is from RNAcentral.